RNAcentral lists this ribosomal RNA (468 nucleotides) under uncultured bacterium. Its description in RNAcentral is "partial 16S ribosomal RNA". It matches the Rfam family "Bacterial small subunit ribosomal RNA", at positions 28 to 507 of the family's 1533-position model. The record is from RNAcentral.
GACGAACGCUGGCGGCGUGCUUAACACAUGCAAGUCGAACGGAAAGGCCCUGCUUUUGUGGGGUGCUCGAGUGGCGAACGGGUGAGUAACACGUGAGUAACCUGCCCUUGACUUUGGGAUAACUGCAGGAAACUGGUGCUAAUACCGGAUAGGAGCUCCUGCUGCAUGGUGGGGGUUGGAAAGUUUCGGCGGUUGGGGAUGGACUCGCGGCUUAUCAGCUUGUUGGUGGGGGAGUGGCUUACCAAGGCUUUGACGGGUAGCCGGCCUGAGAGGGUGACCGGCCACAUUGGGACUGCGAUACGGACCAGACUCCUACGGGAGGCAGCAGUGGGGAAUAUUGCACAAUGGGCGGAAGCCUGAUGAAGCAACGCCGCGUGCGGGAUGACGGCCUUCGGGUUGUAAACCGCUUUCGCCUGUGACGAAGCGUGAGUGACGGUAAUGGGUAAAGAAGCACCGGCUAACUACGUG